This 30-nucleotide non-coding RNA is filed under the name Mus musculus (house mouse). The record is from RNAcentral. Lineage: Eukaryota; Metazoa; Chordata; Mammalia; Rodentia; Muridae.
ACACUGAAUAUGCACUAUUAGAAACACAAU